This 217-nucleotide long non-coding RNA is filed under the name Mytilus galloprovincialis (Mediterranean mussel). The record is from RNAcentral. Lineage: Eukaryota; Metazoa; Mollusca; Bivalvia; Mytilida; Mytilidae.
UCUCGCACAAUAUCUGGACAUCGGUGGGCAUGCAACAUUGCAAAACCACACGUUUACAUAUGAAAAUCAUCACUCAGACUAUAGUCAUAAAGUAGGACAAUAAAUGAACAAAAGACAAACCCGGGACAGUCACAUAGAAGUACAAACAAUAGACCAUCAACUAUGUUGAAAACUAAAAGUAAAAUAGAAACAUGGAUCACGAAAAACAUGCAGGGGC